UUUUAUUAUAGGGUGUUCAUCUGAUAUGAUUCAACCCCUCUCCAAUACAGUUUUAUUAUAGGGUGUUCAUCUGAUAUGAUUCAACCCCUCUCCAAUACAGUUUUAUUAUAGGGUGUUCAUCUGAUAUGAUUCAACCCCUCUCCAAUACAGUUUUAUUAUAGGGUGUUCAUCUAAAUGAUUCAACCCCUCUUCAAUACAGUUUUAUUAUAGGGUGUUCAUCUAAAUGAUUCAACCCCUCUCCAAUACAGUUUUAUUAUAGGGUGUUCAUCUAAAUGAUUCAACCCCUCUCCAAUACAGUUUUAUUAUAGGGUGUUCAUCUGAUAUGAUUCAACCCCUCUCCAAUACAGUUUUAUUAUAGGGUGUUCAUCUGAUAUGAUUCAACCCCUCUCCAAUACAGUUUUAUUAUAGGGUGUUCAUCUAAAUGAUUCAACCCCUCUCCAAUACAGUUUUAUUAUAGGGUGUUAAUCUGAUAUGAUUCAACCCCUCUCCAAUACUGCCAUGGGUGUCUCAGUGCAGUCCAGCCUAAGCAUAGCAUCAGUAGAGUCCUGCUCUACGGUUAAACUACACUAUAUUACAGACAUGCAUGAAGCAAAAAGGAUAAUCACACUUACGAUGAUUAACCAAUGACAGCAAACAUGUACCGUAAAGCCACGCCUCCCCCCCAAUGAUAGCAAACAUGUACCGUAAAGCCACGCCUCCCCCAAUGACAGCAAACAUGUACCGUAAAGCCACGCCCCCCCAAUGAUAGCAAACAUGUACCGUAAAGCCACGCCUCCCCCCUCCCCCAGCUACCACAUUUACAUGCCAUUCCUGUGCAUGUUAACCUGGUUCACACUAUCGGAAAAAAACAAGCUAAGCCCUUCCUUAGCUGAACUAGGCUGGUCUAGGGUGGUCUGGUUAAAUAUCUAGCAGCUGAACUAGGCUGGUCUAGGGUGGUCUGGUUAAACAUCUACCAGCUGAACUAGGCUGGUCUAGGGUGGUCUGGUUAAACAUCUACCAGCUGAACUAGGCUGGUCUAGGGUGGUCUGGUUAAACAUCUACCAGCUGAACUAGGUUGGUGUAGGGUGGUCUGGUUAAACAUCUACCAGCUGGACUAGGCUGGUCUAGGGUGGUCUGGUUAAACAUCUACCAGCUGAACUAGGUUGGUGUAGGGUGGUCUGGUUAAACAUCUACCAGCUGGACUAGGUUGGUGUAGGGUGGUCUGGUUAAACAUCUACCAGCUGAACUAGGUUGGUGUAGGGUGGUCUGGUUAAACAUCUACCAGCUGAACUAGGUUGGUGUAGGGUGGUCUGGUUAAACAUCUACCAGCUGAACUAGGUUGGUGUAGGGUGGUCUGGUUGAACAUCUACCAGACCCAUGUUCUACCAGAUUAGUCCUCCUAUAGUACCAUGUUCUACCAGAUUAGUCCUCCUAUAGUACCGUGUUCUACCAGAUUAGUCCUCCUAUAGAACCAUGUUCUACCAGAUUAGUCUUCCUAUAGUACCAUGUUCUACCAGAUUAGUCCUCCUAUAGUACCAUGUCCUACCAGAUUAGUCCUCCUAUAGUACCAUGUUCUACCAGAUUAGUCCUCCUACAGUACCAUGUUAUACCAGAUUAGUCCUCCUAUAGUACCAGACCCCAUGUUCUACCAGAUUAGUCCUCCUAUAGUACCAUGUUCUACCAGAUUAGUCCUCCUAUCGUACCAUGUUCUACCCAGAUUAGUCCUCCUAUUGUACCAUGUUCUACCCAGAUUAGUCCUCUUAUAGAACCAGACCCCAUGGUCUACCAGAUUAGUCCUCCUAUAGUACCAUGUUCUACCAGAUUAGUCCUCCUAUUGUACCAUGUUCUACCAGAUUAGUCCUCCUAUAGUACCAUGUUCUACCCAGAUUAGUCCUCCUAUAGAACCAUGUUCUACCAGAUUAGUCCUCCUAUAGUACCAUGUUCUACCAGAUUAGUCCUCCUAUAGUACCAGACCCCAUGUUCUACCAGAUUAGUCCUCCUUUAGAACCAUGUUCUACCAGAUUAGUCUUCCUAUAGUACAAUGUUCUACCAGAUUAGUCCUCCUAUAGUACCAUGUUCUACCAGAUUAGUCCUCCUAUAGUACCAGACCCCAUGUUCUACCAGAUUAGUCCUCCUAUAGUACCAUGUUCUACCAGAUUAGUCCUCCUAUAGAACCAUGUUCUACCAGAUUAGUCCUCCUAGGUAUUGGAUGAAAUAAAAACCAUAUCUAGUAUGUAUGGGGCUGUGUGGAAACAGUGGAUUAUCUAGUAUGUAUGGUGCUGUGUGGAAACAGUGGAUUACCUAGUAUGUAUGGUGCUGUGUGGAAAAACGGGAUUAUCUAGUAUGUAUGGUGCUGUGUGGAAACAGGGGAUUAUCUAGUAUGUAUGGUGCUGUGUGGAAACAGGGGAUUAUCUAGUGUGUAUGGUGCUGUGUGGAAACUGUAGGUUAUCUAGUAUGUAUGGUGCUGUGUGGAAACAGUGGAUUACCUAGUAUGUAUGGUGCUGUGUGGAAACAGGGAUUAUCUAGUAUGUAUGGUGCUGUGUGGAAACAGGGGAUUAUCUAGUAUGUAUGGUGCUGUGUGGAAACAGUGGAUUAUCUAGUAUGUAUGGUGCUGUGUGGAAACAGGGAUUAUCUAGUAUGUAUGGUGCUGUGUGGAAACAGUGGAUUAUCUAGUAUGUAUGGUGCUGUGUGGAAACUGUGGGUUAUCUAGUAUGUAUGGUGCUGUGUGGAAACAGUGGAUUAUCUAGUAUGUAUGGUGCUGUGUGGAAACAGUGGAUUAUCUAGUGUGUAUGGUGCUGUGUGGAAACAGUGGAUUAUCUAGUAUGUAUGGUGCUGUGUGGAAACAGUGGAUUAUCUAGUAUGUAUGGUGCUGUGUGGAAACAGUGGAUUAUCUAGUAUGUAUGGUGCUGUGUGGAAACAGUGGAUUAUCUAGUGUGUAUGGUGCUGUGUGGAAACAGUGGAUUAUCUAGUGUGUAUGGUGCUGUGUGGAAACUGUGAGUCGUAGGAGCCUUUCAGUUGAAGAAAGAAUCCAUAAUGCCAGAUCUAGAUUUACCUCAAUUGUCCUGCCAGAUUAUGAAUUUAUUUAAAUGUUUAUCUUUAAAAAAAAAAAUAUUAACAUCAGGACAUCAGGGUACUCAGGCAGACGGGAUAGUUCUUCCUCAUUUGAUAAUGUUUUUAGAGUACAGUUGGCCAAAGCUCGAGACAGAUCUGUUCUUUUUAACUUGUAAACCAAUCAAGGGACCAAAGGUAGUGUUUUUUUUUUUUUAGAGCCUAUGUUUUGAUAAGCGUUUUGGCUACGUGCACAAAAGGUGGUGUGACGAUGACUAUGUCACAGUCCCAAAUGGCACCCUAUUCCCUACAAAGUGCACUACUUUUAGUGCACUAUAUAGGGGAUAGGGUGCCACCUGGGAUACAGAUCCUAUGCUAGAAGACACUCCCAAUAUACUGUAUAGUCCAAUAUGUGGAAAAAGCACCGUUUCUGAGGGUAGAAUUCACAUCUUUGGAUAACUUUUCAAAACAAACGAUGUGGUACCAUAUGUCAGCGUAUAUACUGUGUUGAUCAUGACAUCAUGAUGAUUGACAUGCGAUAUGGGGGGGGGGACCAAUGAGAAAAGGUUUAGUUGGAAGCUUUUGGGAUUUGUUAACCAUUUAUACCACAACAUGUUUUCCUGCGAUGGGGAUGAGUUGAUGUGUCUGUUUCGUUUAUGAAGUCGGAAAUAUGUAUAAAUAUAAUUUAUAUAUAUAUAUAUAUAUAUAUAUAUAUAUAUAUAUAUAUAUAUAUUUGAUUUCUUAAAAACCUUAACCCAAUGCUUAAUUAUAUAAAUCACCUACGUUGGUCCUACUGACACUGACAUUUGUAUUUUCUUAUCAAGGUUGUGAGAAAAAAUAAAAUAUAUGUAUUAUAUAUUUUUUUGUCUCUACACUUCUAUAACUGUAUCUUAUUCCAUACCAGAAUGAAGCGAUGUAUUGGAUAGCUCUGGUCCACGGUGUUACCACACGUCCCUCCAUGAAGACAUAUAUAUAUAUAAUGCCCUGGACCAGAGCUAUGUAUUGGAUAGCUCUGGUCCACGGUGUUACCACACGUCCCUCCAUGAAGACAUAUAUAUAUAUAUAUAAUGCCCUGGACCAGAGCUAUGUAUUGGAUAGCUCUGGUCCACGGUGGUACCACACGUCCCUCCAUGAAGACAUAUAUAUAUAUAUAAUGCCCUGGACCAGAGCUAUGUAUUGGAUAGCUCUGGUCCACGGUGUUACCACACGUCCUUCCAUGAAGACAUAUAUAUAAUGCCCUGGACCAGAGCUACGUAUUGGAUAGCUCUGGUCCACGGUGUUACCACACGUCCUUCCAUGAAGACAUAUAUAUAUAUAAUGCCCUGGACCAGAGCUAUGGUUAUGGGCCCGAUAGGGCCCAGGUCAACAGUAGUGCACUAUGUAGGGAAUAGGAUGCCGUUUGAGAUACAUCCUAUGUCUUUUAAACUAAAAGCAAUGAUUUAUACAGUACAAAGUGUUAUUGCGAUUUUAACUACUGAUAUGUAAAUUACCUGCUAUGAGUGCACAAGUCAUUUAAUAAAUUAUUAAAAUGUUAUUGAACCUAAAUAAGGUGUUUAAAUAUAUUUUUUUAUAUUCGUUGCAUAAAAGAUUCUGUUCUGUUAGAAACACGUCAUUACGAAGCUUCCUUCAUUUUGGUCAUGUCUCGAUUGGCACCCUAUUCCCUUUAUAGUGCACUACUUUGGACCAGGACCUGCAUAGAGAAUAGGGUGCCAGGGCCCAUAGGGUUCUGAUCUAAAGUAGUGCACUAUAUAGGGAAUAGGGUGCCAGGGGCCAUAGGGAUCUGGUCUAAAGUAGUGCACUAUAUAGGGAA
Molecule: long non-coding RNA, 4837 nt
Organism: Oncorhynchus tshawytscha (Chinook salmon)
Lineage: Eukaryota; Metazoa; Chordata; Actinopteri; Salmoniformes; Salmonidae
Source: Ensembl